This 256-nucleotide ribosomal RNA is filed under the name uncultured bacterium. Its description in RNAcentral is "partial 16S ribosomal RNA". It matches the Rfam family "Bacterial small subunit ribosomal RNA", at positions 524 to 777 of the family's 1533-position model. The record is from RNAcentral.
UACGUAGGGACCAAGCGUUGUUCGGAUUUACUGGGCGUAAAGGGCGCGUAGGCGGCGUGGUAAGUCACUUGUGAAAUCUCUGAGCUUAACUCAGAACGGCCAAGUGAUACUGCUGUGCUAGAGUGCAGAAGGGGCAAUCGGGAAUUCUUGGUGUAGCGGUGAAAUGCGUAGAGAUCCGGAAGAACACCGGUGGCGAAGGCGGCCUGCUGGGCUAUGGCUGACACUGAGGCGCGACAGCGUGGGGGAGCAAACAGGG